GGAGAUGUGGCUCAGUGGUAGAGCUCCUGCCCUGCAUGCAGAAGGUCCUGGGUUUGAUCCCCAGCACCCUUG
Molecule: transfer RNA, 72 nt
Filed under: Cavia porcellus (domestic guinea pig)
Lineage: Eukaryota; Metazoa; Chordata; Mammalia; Rodentia; Caviidae
Rfam family: tRNA
About the family: Transfer RNA (tRNA) molecules are approximately 80 nucleotides in length. Their secondary structure includes four short double-helical elements and three loops (D, anti-codon, and T loops). Further hydrogen bonds mediate the characteristic L-shaped molecular structure. tRNAs have two regions of fundamental functional importance: the anti-codon, which is responsible for specific mRNA codon recognition, and the 3' end, to which the tRNAs corresponding amino acid is attached (by aminoacyl-tRNA synthetases). tRNAs cope with the degeneracy of the genetic code in two manners: having more than one tRNA (with a specific anti-codon) for a particular amino acid; and 'wobble' base-pairing, i.e. permitting non-standard base-pairing at the 3rd anti-codon position.
Source: Rfam by way of RNAcentral